Molecule: ribosomal RNA, 393 nt
Filed under: uncultured bacterium
Lineage: Bacteria
Description: partial 16S ribosomal RNA
Rfam family: Bacterial small subunit ribosomal RNA
Source: RNAcentral
AUACGGAGGACGCGAGCGUUAUCCGGAUUCAUUGGGUUUAAAGGGUGCGUAGGCGGUUUGCUAAGCGGGAGGUGAAAUGCCGGCGCUCAACGUCGGAAGUGCCUCCCGAACUGGUGGACUGGAAUGACUCUGCCGUGGGAGGAAUGUGUAGUGUAGCGGUGAAAUGCUUAGAGAUUACACAGAACACCGAUUGCGAAGGCAUCUCACGAAGGGUUGAUUGACGCUGAGGCACGAAAGCGUGGGGAUCAAACAGGAUUAGAUACCCUGGUAGUCCACGCAGUAAACGAUGAUGGCUAACCGCUGGUUUAUUCGGAUCAGUGGCCAAGCGAAAGCGAUAAGCCAUCCACCUGGGGAGUACGACCGCAAGGUUGAAACUCAAAGGAAUUGACGGGG